GAAGAAAGCGGGCGGCGUGCUUAACACAUGCAAGUCGAACGGAAAGGCCCUGCUUUUGUGGGGUGCUCGAGUGGCGAACGGGUGAGUAACACGUGAGUAACCUGCCCUUGACUUUGGGAUAACUUCAGGAAACUGGGGCUAAUACCGGAUAGGAGCUCCUGCUGCAUGGUGGGGGUUGGAAAGUUUCGGCGGUUGGGGAUGGACUCGCGGCUUAUCAGCUUGUUGGUGGGGUAGUGGCUUACCAAGGCUUUGACGGGUAGCCGGCCUGAGAGGGUGACCGGCCACAUUGGGACUGAGAUACGGCCCAGACUCCUACGGGAGGCAGCAGUGGGGAAUAUUGCACAAUGGGCGGAAGCCUGAUGCAGCAACGCCGCGUGCGGGAUGACGGCCUUCGGGUUGUAAACCGCUUUCGCCUGUGACGAGGCGUGAGUGACGGUAAUGGGUAAAGAAGCACCGGCUAACUACGUG
This 468-nucleotide ribosomal RNA is filed under the name uncultured bacterium. RNAcentral describes it as "partial 16S ribosomal RNA". It matches the Rfam family "Bacterial small subunit ribosomal RNA", at positions 28 to 507 of the family's 1533-position model. The record is from RNAcentral.